This 253-nucleotide ribosomal RNA is filed under the name uncultured bacterium. RNAcentral's name for it is "partial 16S ribosomal RNA". It matches the Rfam family "Bacterial small subunit ribosomal RNA", at positions 524 to 776 of the family's 1533-position model. The record is from RNAcentral.
UACGUAGGGGGCAAGCGUUGUCCGGAAUCAUUGGGCGUAAAGAGCGUGUAGGCGGCCAGACAAGUCUGCUGUGAAAACUCGAGGCUCAACCUCGAGCUGUCGGUGGAAACUGUCUGGCUAGAGUCCGGAAGAGGAGAGUGGAAUUCCUGGUGUAGCGGUGAAAUGCGCAGAUAUCAGGAAGAACACCUAUGGCGAAGGCAGCUCUCUGGGACGGUACUGACGCUGAGACGCGAAAGCGUGGGGAGCGAACAGG